UGGGGAAUCUUGCGCAAUGGGCGAAAGCCUGACGCAGCCAUGCCGCGUGAAUGAUGAAGGUCUUAGGAUUGUAAAAUUCUUUCACCGGGGACGAUAAUGACGGUACCCGGAGAAGAAGCCCCGGCUAACUUCGUGCCAGCAGCCGCGGUAAUACGAAGGGGGCUAGCGUUGCUCGGAAUUACUGGGCGUAAAGGGCGCGUAGGCGGAUCGUUAAGUCAGAGGUGAAAUCCCAGGGCUCAACCCUGGAACUGCCUUUGAUACUGGCGAUCUUGAGUAUGAGAGAGGUAUGUGGAACUCCGAGUGUAGAGGUGAAGUUCGUAGAUAUUCGGAAGAACACCAGUGGCGAAGGCGACAUACUGGCUCAUUACUAACGCUAAAGCGCGAAAGCGUGGAGAGCAAACAGG
This 404-nucleotide ribosomal RNA is filed under the name bacterium. RNAcentral describes it as "partial 16S ribosomal RNA". It matches the Rfam family "Bacterial small subunit ribosomal RNA", at positions 355 to 776 of the family's 1533-position model. The record is from RNAcentral.